UCCUGAUAAAGGAGUCUUUUGCUUGUCCUAAAAGCACAGGUGAAUAAGGGGUGGGCAAGUCUGGUGUCAGCCGCCGCGGUAAUACCAGCACCUCGAGUGGUCAGGACGUUUAUUGGGCCUAAAGCAUCCGUAGCCGGCUCUGCAAGUCUUCGGUUAAAUCCACCUGCUCAACAGAUGGGCCGCUGGAGAUACUACAGAGCUAGGGAGUGGGAGAGGCAGACGGUAUUCAGUGGGUAGGGGUAAAAUCCUCUGAUCCAUUGAGGACCACCAGUGGCGAAGGCGGUCUGCCAGAACACGUUCGACGGUGAGGGAUGAAAGCUGGGGGAGCAAACCGGAUUAGAUACCCCUGUAGUCC
RNAcentral lists this ribosomal RNA (355 nucleotides) under uncultured bacterium. RNAcentral's name for it is "bacterial SSU rRNA". It matches the Rfam family "Archaeal small subunit ribosomal RNA", at positions 390 to 747 of the family's 1478-position model. The record is from RNAcentral.